UACGUAGGGCGCAAGCGUUGUCCGGAAUCAUUGGGCGUAAAGAGCUCGUAGGCGGCCUGUCGCGUCCGCUGUGAAAACCCGCGGCUCAACUGUGGGCGGGCAGCUGAUACGGGCAGGCUGGAGUUCGGUAGGGGAGACUGGAAUUCCUGGUGUAGCGGUGAAAUGCGCAGAUAUCAGGAGGAACACCGGUGGCGAAGGCGGGUCUCUGGGCCGAUACUGACGCUGAGGAGCGAAAGCGUGGGGAGCGAACAGG
This 253-nucleotide ribosomal RNA is filed under the name uncultured bacterium. RNAcentral's name for it is "partial 16S ribosomal RNA". It matches the Rfam family "Bacterial small subunit ribosomal RNA", at positions 524 to 776 of the family's 1533-position model. The record is from RNAcentral.